Molecule: ribosomal RNA, 458 nt
Filed under: uncultured bacterium
Lineage: Bacteria
Description: partial 16S ribosomal RNA
Rfam family: Bacterial small subunit ribosomal RNA
Source: RNAcentral
CCUACGGGGAGCUGCAGUGGGGAAUAUUGCACAAUGGGGGAAACCCUGAUGCAGCGACGCCGCGUGAGUGAAGAAGCGUUUCGGCGCGUAAAGCUCUGUCAGCGGGGAAGAAACACGGUUCGCGAGAGCCGCGGACGGUACCCGACCAAGAAGCCCCGGCUAACUACGUGCCAGCAGCCGCGGUAAUACGUAGGGGGCAAGCGUUAUCCGGAUUCACUGGGUGUAAAGGGAGCGUAGACGGCGAGACAAGUCUGGAGUGAAAGGCCGGGGCCCAACCCCGGGACUGCUCUGGAAACUGCCUGGCUGGAGUACAGGAGAGGUAAGUGGAAUUCCUAGUGUAGCGGUGAAAUGCGUAGAUAUUAGGAGGAACACCAGUGGCGAAGGCGACUUGCUGGGCCAUCACUGACGGUCAGGGACGAAAGCGUGGGGAGCAAAUAGGAUUAGAUACCCCGGUAGUC